UACAGAGGUCCCGAGCGUUGUUCGGAUUCACUGGGCGUAAAGGGUGCGUAGGUGGUGACGUAAGUCGGAUGUGAAAUCUCGGAGCUCAACUCCGAAACGGCAUUGGAAACUGCGUUGCUAGAGGGUUGGAGGGGGGACUGGAAUGCUUGGUGUAGCAGUGAAAUGCGUAGAUAUCAAGCGGAACACCAGUGGCGAAGGCGAGUCCCUGGACAACACCUGACACUGAGGCACGAAAGCUAGGGGAGCAAACGGG
Molecule: ribosomal RNA, 253 nt
Filed under: uncultured bacterium
Lineage: Bacteria
Description: partial 16S ribosomal RNA
Rfam family: Bacterial small subunit ribosomal RNA
Source: RNAcentral